Molecule: ribosomal RNA, 573 nt
Filed under: Triticum aestivum (bread wheat)
Lineage: Eukaryota; Viridiplantae; Streptophyta; Magnoliopsida; Poales; Poaceae
Description: partial small subunit ribosomal RNA
Source: RNAcentral
AUGACGCGGGUGGGAGGAGAUGGAUGGGUCUGUUUCAUCACCCACAUGCGUAUUACUGGUGGUGAGUUGAUCAGCUUCUCCUUCAAAACAGAAAGACCCAAGAUGGCCGUGAUUUAUGUCAACAAAGCAGAAGAUGAUGGGGAUGAUGAGGAUGAUGACGACCCACUUGUUGAAGCCAUUGUAGCUCAAAGGAUGAGGUUGAGCGAGGAGGAGGUGUGCAGCCUAUGGGACAUCAUUCCGCCACGUGCUGACUUCAUCGGAGUGUCAUUCGUGACCCGCCUGACAAGUACCAUGGUUGAUCGGCAUAACAUGAAAUUACCAAAGAGCUUAUCUGAGAGUUGUGGUAUCAAGCCUGAUGAAGAAGGCUCUGCUGGAAUACGCCUUACAGCGAGGGGCUCCGUCACCACUUGUGCGUACGGCGUGGACACGGACGGUCGCACACACUUCAACACGGUUGGGUGGAAGAGCUUCCUCGUCAGCAAGAAUCUUCAUGUUGGACAGGCAAUCCUAAUUACUAUCAGGAACACCCACCGCCCAGGCUUGAGGAUGAUGGUCGUCAUCGAUAUCAUCUAG